Molecule: ribosomal RNA, 482 nt
Filed under: uncultured bacterium
Lineage: Bacteria
Description: partial 16S ribosomal RNA
Rfam family: Bacterial small subunit ribosomal RNA
Source: RNAcentral
GACGAACGCUGGCGGCGUGCUUAACACAUGCAAGUCGAACGAUGAAGAAGAGAAACGCGAACUUCGGUUCAAAUUUCACUUCGGAUUAGUGGCAGACGGGUGAGUAACGCGUGAGCAACCUACCUCUUACAAAGGGAUAGCCUCGGGAAACCGUGAUUAAUACCAUAUGACAAAUUCAUAAGGCAUCUUAAGACUUUUAAAGCUACGGCGGUAAGAGAUGGGCUCGCGUCCCAUUAGCUAGUUGGUGAGGUAACGGCCCACCAAGGCGACGAUGGGUAACCGGCCUGAGAGGGUGAACGGUCACAUUGGAACUGAGACACGGUCCAAACUCCUACGGGAGGCAGCAGUGGGGAAUAUUGCACAAUGGAGGGAACUCUGAUGCAGCGACGCCGCGUGAGCGAUGAAGGAAUUCGUUUCGUAAAGCUCUGUUCUAUGGGAAGAAAAGGACUGUACCAUAGGAGAAAGCCCCGGCUAAAUACGUG